This 491-nucleotide ribosomal RNA is filed under the name uncultured bacterium. RNAcentral's name for it is "partial 16S ribosomal RNA". It matches the Rfam family "Bacterial small subunit ribosomal RNA", at positions 29 to 506 of the family's 1533-position model. The record is from RNAcentral.
AGUGAACGCUGGCGGUAGGCCUAACACAUGCAAGUCGAACGGCAGCACAGUAAGAGCUUGCUCUUACGGGUGGCGAGUGGCGGACGGGUGAGGAAUACAUCGGAAUCUACUUUUUCGUGGGGGAUAACGUAGGGAAACUUACGCUAAUACCGCAUACGACCUACGGGUGAAAGCAGGGGAUCUUCGGACCUUGCGCGAUUGAAUGAGCCGAUGUCGGAUUAGCUAGUUGGCGGGGUAAAGGCCCACCAAGGCGACGAUCCGUAGCUGGUCUGAGAGGAUGAUCAGCCAACACGGAAAUGGGACACGGGCCAGAACCCCACGGGAGGCAGGAGUGGGGAAUUAUGGGAAAAGGGGGCAAGCCUGAACCAGCCAUACCGGGGGGGUGAAGAAGGCCUUCGGGUUGGAAAGCCCUUUUGUUGGGAAAGAAAAGCAGGAGGUUAAUACCCCGGUGGUCUGGCGGUACCCAAAGAAUAAGCACCGGCUAACUUCGU